AGCAGCCGCGGUAAUUCCAGCUCCAAUAGCGUAUAUUAAAGUUGCUGCAGUUAAAAAGCUCGUAGUUGAAUUUCGGGACUAAUAUGUCGGUCGUGCCUCGGUACGUACUGGCUUAUUGGUUUCUCCUUUCUGAAGAACCAUGAUGUCAUUUAUUUGGUGUCGUGGGGAAUCAGGACUGUUACUUUGAAAAAAUUAGAGUGUUUAAAGCAGGCUCACGCUUGAAUACAUUAGCAUGGAAUAAUGAAAUAGGACGUUUGGUUCUAUUUUGUUGGUUUCUAGGAUCGACGUAAUGAUUAAUAGGGAUAGUUGGGGGCAUUAGUAUUCAAUUGUCAGAGGUGAAAUUCUUGGAUUUAUUGAAGACUAACUACUGCGAAAGCAUUUGCCAAGGAUGUUUUCAUUAAUCAAGAACGAAAGUUAGGGGAUCGAAGACGAUCAGAUACCGUCGUAGUCUUAACCAUAAACUAUGCCGACUAGGGAUCGGAUGAUGUUAAUUUUUUAAUGACUCAUUCGGCGCCUUACG
This 520-nucleotide unclassified non-coding RNA is filed under the name uncultured Glomus. Its description in RNAcentral is "SSU rRNA". It matches the Rfam family "Eukaryotic small subunit ribosomal RNA", at positions 569 to 1092 of the family's 1831-position model. The record is from RNAcentral. Lineage: Eukaryota; Fungi; Glomeromycota; Glomeromycetes; Glomerales; Glomeraceae.